RNAcentral lists this ribosomal RNA (271 nucleotides) under uncultured archaeon. Its description in RNAcentral is "partial 16S ribosomal RNA". It matches the Rfam family "Archaeal small subunit ribosomal RNA", at positions 477 to 747 of the family's 1478-position model. The record is from RNAcentral.
CAGCGCCACGAGUGGCAAUCACGAUUAUUGGGUCUAAAGCGUCCAUAGCCGGUUCGGUAAAUCUUUUGUGAAAUCGUUGGGCUCAACCUAACGGCAUGCAGAAGACACUGCCGGACUUGAGACCGGAAGGAGUACAGAGUAUGGUGUGGGGACCGGUAAAAUGGGAUAAUCCACGCUAGACUACCAAUGGCGAAGGCACUGUACCAGGACGGAUCUGACGGUGAGGGACGAAAGCUAGGGGAGCGAACCGGAUUAGAUACCCGCGUAGUCC